Molecule: ribosomal RNA, 315 nt
Filed under: Vibrio parahaemolyticus
Lineage: Bacteria; Pseudomonadati; Pseudomonadota; Gammaproteobacteria; Vibrionales; Vibrionaceae
Description: partial 23S ribosomal RNA
Rfam family: Bacterial large subunit ribosomal RNA
Source: RNAcentral
GAGGCGAACCGGGGGAACUGAAACAUCUAAGUACCCCGAGGAAAAGAAAUCAACCGAGAUUCCGAAAGUAGCGGCGAGCGAAAUUGGACUAGCCCUUAAGCUUUACACGCGUUAGACGAACGGUCUGGAAAGUCCGACGAUACAGGGUGAUAGUCCCGUAGUUGACGACGUGUGUUCAGUGAAAUCGAGUAGGGCGGGACACGUGAUAUCCUGUCUGAAUAUGGGGGGACCAUCCUCCAAGGCUAAAUACUACUGACUGACCGAUAGUGAACCAGUACCGUGAGGGAAAGGCGAAAAGAACCCCUGUGAGGGGAG